CCGGAGGAAGAGAAAGAAAAUUCGAUUCCCUUAGUAGCGGCGAGCGAAACGGGAAGAGCCCAAACCAACAAGCUUGCUUGUUGGGGUUGUAGGACACUCUAUACGGAGUUACAAAGGACGACAUUAGACGAAUCAUCUGGAAAGAUGAAUCAAAGAAGGUAAUAAUCCUGUAGUCGAAAAUGUUGUCUCUCUUGAGUGGAUCCUGAGUACGACGGAGCACGUGAAAUUCCGUCGGAAUCUGGGAGGACCAUCUCCUAAGGCUAAAUACUCUCUAGUGACCGAUAGUGAACCAGUACCGUGAGGGAAAGGUGAAAAGCACCCCGGAAGGGGAGUGAAAUAGAACCUGAAACCGUGUGCUUACAAGUAGUCAGAGCCCGUUAAUGGGUGAUGGCGUGCCUUUUGUAGAAUGAACCGGCGAGUUACGAUUUGAUGCAAGGUUAAGCAGUAAAUGUGGAGCCGUAGCGAAAGCGAGUCUGAAUAGGGCGUUUAGUAUUUGGUCGUAGACCCGAAACCAGGUGAUCUACCCUUGGUCAGGUUGAAGUUCAGGUAACACUGAAUGGAGGACCGAACCGACUUACGUUGAAAAGUGAGCGGAUGAACUGAGGGUAGCGGAGAAAUUCCAAUCGAACCUGGAGAUAGCUGGUUCUCUCCGAAAUAGCUUUAGGGCUAGCCUCAAGUGAUGAUUAUUGGAGGUAGAGCACUGUUUGGACGAGGGGCCCCUCUCGGGUUACCGAAUUCAGACAAACUCCGAAUGCCAAUUAAUUUAACUUGGGAGUCAGAACAUGGGUGAUAAGGUCCGUGUUCGAAAGGGAAACAGCCCAGACCACCAGCUAAGGUCCCAAAAUAUAUGUUAAGUGGAAAAGGAUGUGGCGUUGCCCAGACAACUAGGAUGUUGGCUUAGAAGCAGCCAUCAUUUAAAGAGUGCGUAAUAGCUCACUAGUCGAGUGACACUGCGCCGAAAAUGUACCGGGGCUAAACAUAUUACCGAAGCUGUGGAUUGUCCUUUGGACAAUGGUAGGAGAGCGUUCUAAGGGCGUUGAAGCAUGAUCGUAAGGACAUGUGGAGCGCUUAGAAGUGAGAAUGCCGGUGUGAGUAGCGAAAGACGGGUGAGAAUCCCGUCCACCGAUUGACUAAGGUUUCCAGAGGAAGGCUCGUCCGCUCUGGGUUAGUCGGGUCCUAAGCUGAGGCCGACAGGCGUAGGCGAUGGAUAACAGGUUGAUAUUCCUGUACCACCUAUAAUCGUUUUAAUCGAUGGGGGGACGCAGUAGGAUAGGCGAAGCGUGCGAUUGGAUUGCACGUCUAAGCAGUAAGGCUGAGUAUUAGGCAAAUCCGGUACUCGUUAAGGCUGAGCUGUGAUGGGGAGAAGACAUUGUGUCUUCGAGUCGUUGAUUUCACACUGCCGAGAAAAGCCUCUAGAUAGAAAAUAGGUGCCCGUACCGCAAACCGACACAGGUAGUCAAGAUGAGAAUUCUAAGGUGAGCGAGCGAACUCUCGUUAAGGAACUCGGCAAAAUGACCCCGUAACUUCGGGAGAAGGGGUGCUCUUUAGGGUUAACGCCCAGAAGAGCCGCAGUGAAUAGGCCCAAGCGACUGUUUAUCAAAAACACAGGUCUCUGCUAAACCGUAAGGUGAUGUAUAGGGGCUGACGCCUGCCCGGUGCUGGAAGGUUAAGAGGAGUGGUUAGCUUCUGCGAAGCUACGAAUCGAAGCCCCAGUAAACGGCGGCCGUAACUAUAACGGUCCUAAGGUAGCGAAAUUCCUUGUCGGGUAAGUUCCGACCCGCACGAAAGGCGUAACGAUUUGGGCACUGUCUCAACGAGAGACUCGGUGAAAUCAUAGUACCUGUGAAGAUGCAGGUUACCCGCGACAGGACGGAAAGACCCCGUGGAGCUUUACUGUAGCCUGAUAUUGAAAUUCGGCACAGCUUGUACAGGAUAGGUAGGAGCCUUUGAAACGUGAGCGCUAGCUUACGUGGAGGCGCUGGUGGGAUACUACCCUAGCUGUGUUGGCUUUCUAACCCGCACCACUUAUCGUGGUGGGAGACAGUGUCAGGCGGGCAGUUUGACUGGGGCGGUCGCCUCCUAAAAGGUAACGGAGGCGCUCAAAGGUUCCCUCAGAAUGGUUGGAAAUCAUUCAUAGAGUGUAAAGGCAUAAGGGAGCUUGACUGCGAGACCUACAAGUCGAGCAGGGUCGAAAGACGGACUUAGUGAUCCGGUGGUUCCGCAUGGAAGGGCCAUCGCUCAACGGAUAAAAGCUACCCCGGGGAUAACAGGCUUAUCUCCCCCAAGAGUUCACAUCGACGGGGAGGUUUGGCACCUCGAUGUCGGCUCAUCGCAUCCUGGGGCUGUAGUCGGUCCCAAGGGUUGGGCUGUUCGCCCAUUAAAGCGGUACGCGAGCUGGGUUCAGAACGUCGUGAGACAGUUCGGUCCCUAUCCGUCGUGGGCGUAGGAAAUUUGAGAGGAGCUGUCCUUAGUACGAGAGGACCGGGAUGGACAUACCUCUGGUGUACCAGUUGUCGUGCCAACGGCAUAGCUGGGUAGCUAUGUGUGGACGGGAUAAGUGCUGAAAGCAUCUAAGCAUGAAGCCCCCCUCAAGAUGAGAUUUCCCAACUUCGGUUAUAAGAUCCCUCAAAGAUGAUGAGGUUAAUAGGUUCGAGGUGGAAGCAUGGUGACAUGUGGAGCUGACGAAUACUAAUCGAUCGAAGACUUAAUCAA
This 2712-nucleotide ribosomal RNA is filed under the name Staphylococcus aureus. RNAcentral's name for it is "bacterial LSU rRNA". It matches the Rfam family "Bacterial large subunit ribosomal RNA". Lineage: Bacteria; Bacillati; Bacillota; Bacilli; Caryophanales; Staphylococcaceae. The record is from RNAcentral.